This is a long non-coding RNA of Pipistrellus kuhlii (Kuhl's pipistrelle), 411 nucleotides long. RefSeq lists it as uncharacterized. The transcript is spliced from 2 exons. The record is from RefSeq and is a predicted model, not a curated record. Lineage: Eukaryota; Metazoa; Chordata; Mammalia; Chiroptera; Vespertilionidae.
AAAUGGAAUUAUUUGGGAUGGAAUCAUUGGGAUAUGUUUGAAAGUACCGUUUGUAGACCGCCUUUGCCAGUUCUGCCUCUUGAAAAUGUAUGCAAGACCGUUUUGAGCCCCACACGUACUAAAACCCUGCCAUCAUGGCUGGAUCAAAUAGAGCUGUCCAAAUGGUGAGAGGCUGCAGAGUAUUUUCAGAUCUAUGGAUGAGGACUUGUUGGGAAUGCUGUGGGAGGGAUGGUUAGAUGUAGGCUGGAGAUGCCCUAAAGAGCAUCCCACCUCUGAGAUCCUGCAGCCUCAAAAAAACAUUUCAUAGUUUCAUUCUAGUAAAAGGCAGUAAGUGACAAAGAGCAAAUUCAUACAUUAGUGUUUAAUUUAUACUACAUAAAACUUGUUUCUUAUUAAAUGUAUCAAAUGUAA